UUACACAUGCAAGUCGAACGGCAGCAUAGAGAGCUUGCUCUCUGAUGGCGAGUGGCGAACGGGUGAGUAAUACAUCGGAACGUGUCCGUUUGUGGGGGACAACCACCCGAAAGGGUGGCUAAUACCGCAUAAGACCUGAGGGUGAAAGCCGGGGACCGCAAGGCCUGGCGCGAACGGAGCGGCCGAUGACUGAUUAGCUGGUUGGCGGGGUAAAGGCCCACCAAGGCGACGAUCAGUAGCUGGUCUGAGAGGACGACCAGCCACACUGGAACUGAGACACGGUCCAGACUCCUACGGGAGGCAGCAGUGGGGAAUUUUGGACAAUGGGGGCAACCCUGAUCCAGCCAUGCCGCGUGCGGGAAGAAGGCCUUCGGGUUGUAAACCGCUUUUGUCAGGGACGAAAAGGUGCGGGUUAAGAGCUAGCACUGAUGACGGUACCUGAAGAAUAAGCACCGGCUAACUACGUGCCAGCAGCCGCGGUAAUACGUAGGGUGCGAGCGUUAAUCGGAAUUACUGGGCGUAAAGCGUGCGCAGGCGGUUGGGUAAGACAGAUGUGAAUCCCCGGGCUUAACCUGGGAACUGCAUUUGUGACUGUCCGACUGGAGUAUGUCAGAGGGGGGUGGAAUUCCAAGUGUAGCAGUGAAAUGCGUAGAUAUUUGGAAGAACACCGAUGG
RNAcentral lists this ribosomal RNA (674 nucleotides) under uncultured beta proteobacterium. Its description in RNAcentral is "bacterial SSU rRNA". It matches the Rfam family "Bacterial small subunit ribosomal RNA", at positions 49 to 715 of the family's 1533-position model. The record is from RNAcentral. Lineage: Bacteria; Pseudomonadati; Pseudomonadota; Betaproteobacteria.